AGCGGCGGACGGGUGAGUAACGCGUGGGUAACCUGCCUCAUACAGGGGGAUAACAGUUAGAAAUGACUGCUAAUACCGCAUAAGACCACAGCACCGCAUGGUGCGGGGGUAAAAACUCCGGUGGUAUGAGAUGGACCCGCGUCUGAUUAGCUAGUUGGUAAGGUAACGGCUUACCAAGGCGACGAUCAGUAGCCGCCUGAGAGGGUGACCGGCCACAUUGGGACUGAGACACGGCCCAA
Molecule: ribosomal RNA, 239 nt
Filed under: uncultured bacterium
Lineage: Bacteria
Description: partial 16S ribosomal RNA
Rfam family: Bacterial small subunit ribosomal RNA
Source: RNAcentral